UAUUUAAUAUAUUACGUUAUUUGAAUGUUGUUGAUUUUUGUUAAUUGAAAUAAUAUAAUGUUGUUGUAUUUUUUGGAGAUAUAAUUUAUUUGGUUAUAGUUUAUUUGUACUGUGAAGGGUAUUAAUUGGUAUUUCAUUAUAAGAAAUUAAUGUUAUUUAUUGUACCUUGUGUCUCAGGGUUUAUUAAAAGAGGUGGAUUUAUUUUCUUGUUCUCGAUUUUGAGAGAUCUAAUGGGAUAUUUUAGUUAUUGUGGUAAUGAUAUUAAUAAUAUUUUGUUGGUAGUGAAAUGUUUUCGUUCUUGAUUGUAUCUGGUUUUUUAUGAAAUGAAUUUAAUUUGGAUAUCAGUUUGUAGUAUGAAUUUAGUUUUUGGGAUUAUAUUUUAGUUGAUAUUAAUACUUUAAGGGAUAAGCUUUGGGGUAUAGUUUCUAUAAAUUUUAUUUUUUAUUUAAGUGGUAUGGAUUUAAUAGUAAUUAUUGUUUUGAGGAUGUUAAAGUUUAAUUUGUUUAUUAAUGUAUUUAGAUUUGUUUUGGAUUUUUUAUUGGGAAUUUUUAUAUAAUUUGUUAUUAAGAGGAAUAAUGAUAGAAUUAGUAUAUUUUGUUAUGUAGUUAACAUAUAAUUGUUGAAUUAAGUAAAGGAACUAGGCAAAAAUAGUGUGUUCGCUUGUUUAUCAAAAACAUCGUUUCUUGUAUUGUUUUGGGAAUAUGACCUGCCCACUGAGAGGAUUGAAGGGCCGCGGUAAUUUGACCGUGCAAAGGUAGCAUAAUCAUUAGUCUUUUAAUUGAAGGCUGGAAUGAAUGGUUGGACGAGAUAUUUACUGUCUUUUUUUUAUUGGUUGAAUUUAAUUAUUAAGUGAGAAAGCUUAAGUGUUUUUAAGGGACGAGAAGACCCUAUAGAGUUUUAUAUUUAUUUAUUUGUUUAUAGUUUGUUUAUAUUGUUAAUUAGGUAAAUAUUUUGUUGGGGUGAUAGUUGGAAAUAUUAAACUCUUUUUUUUUGGGAAUUAUUUAUUUGUAUAAAUUUAGAUCCAUUAUUUGUGAUAGUAAGAUUAAAUUACCUUAGGGAUAACAGCGUAAUCUUUUUUUAGAGUUCUUAUUGAUGAGAAGGAUUGCGACCUCGAUGUUGGAUUAAGAUUAAUAUUAGGUGUAGAGGCUUAAUUAAUAGGUCUGUUCGACCUUUAAAAUCUUACAUGAUCUGAGUUCAAACCGGCGUGAGCCAGGUUGGUUUCUAUCUUUAAUAUAAUUUAAUACUUUAGUACGAAAGGACCAGGUAUUUAGAAUAAUUUUUAUUGAUUGAUUAAUAUUAAAUG
Molecule: ribosomal RNA, 1303 nt
Filed under: Scalida pyrrhocephala
Lineage: Eukaryota; Metazoa; Arthropoda; Insecta; Blattodea; Blattellidae
Description: 16S ribosomal RNA
Rfam family: Archaeal large subunit ribosomal RNA (bases 1058-1216)
Source: RNAcentral